RNAcentral lists this ribosomal RNA (334 nucleotides) under uncultured eukaryote. Its description in RNAcentral is "partial 18S ribosomal RNA". It matches the Rfam family "Eukaryotic small subunit ribosomal RNA", at positions 1470 to 1796 of the family's 1831-position model. The record is from RNAcentral.
CCCUUAGAUGUCCGGGGCCGCACGCGCGCUACACUGAAGGAAUCAGCGUGGCUUUCUCCCUGACCCGAAAGGGUUGGGAAACCCGUUGAAUCUCCUUCGUGAUAGGGAUUGGGGCGUGAAAUUGUUCCCCAUGAACGAGGAAUUCCCAGUAAGCGCGAGUCAUAAGCUCGCGUUGAUUACGUCCCUGCCCUUUGUACACACCGCCCGUCGCUACUACCGAUUGAACGGUUUAGUGAGGGCCUCGGAUUGGUCUCGGCCCGCUCUUUACCGGGCGGCGCCGUUGGUCGAGAAGACGCUCGAACUUGAUCGUUUAGAGGAAGUAAAAGUCGUAACA